AGAGUUUGAUCAUGGCUCAGGAUGAACGCUGGCGGCGUGCCUAAUACAUGCAAGUCGAACGGGGAGUUCGCAAGGGCUCCCAGUGGCGAACGGGUGAGUAACGCGUGGGCGACCUGCCCCAAAGCGGGGGAUAACAGCUCGAAAGGGCUGCUAAUACCCCAUGAGGUCCCGCUGGUUAGAGGCGGCGGGACGAAAGGCGCAAGCCGCUUUGGGAGGGGCCUGCGUCCCAUCAGCUAGUUGGUCGGGUAACGGCUGACCAAGGCGAUGACGGGUAGGGGACCUGAGAGGGUGAUCCCCCACACUGGCACUGAAACACGGGCCAGACACCUACGGGUGGCAGCAGUAGGGAAUAUUGCACAAUGGGCGCAAGCCUGAUGCAGCAACGCCGCGUGCGCGACGAAGGCCUUCGGGUCGUAAAGCGCUUUUCGGGGAGAUGAGUACGGACAGUAUCCCCGGAAGAAGGAUCGGCUAACUACGUGCCAGCAGCCGCGGUAAAACGUAGGAUCCGAGCGUUAUCCGAAUUCACUGGGCGUAAAGCGCAUGCAGGCGGCCGCACAAGUUGGAUGUGAAAUCUCCCGGCUCAACUGGGAGGGGACGUUCAAAACUGUGCGGCUCGAGGGCGGUAGAGGAAGGUAGAAUUCCCGGUGUAGUGGUGAAAUGCGUAGAUAUCGGGAGGAAUACCCGUGGCGAAGGCGACCUUCUGGACCGUUUCUGACGCUCAGAUGCGAAAGCUAGGGGAGCGAACGGGAUUAGAAACCCCGGUAGUCCUAGCCGUAAACGAUGUCGACUGGGCGUGGGUGGGGUAAAAGCCAUCCGUGCCGAAGCUAACGCGUGAAGUCGACCGCCUGGGGACUACGGCCGCAAGGUUAAAACUCAAAUGAAUUGACGG
Molecule: ribosomal RNA, 889 nt
Filed under: uncultured bacterium
Lineage: Bacteria
Description: bacterial SSU rRNA
Rfam family: Bacterial small subunit ribosomal RNA
Source: RNAcentral